UCAGUUUCAAAACUGAAAGAAUUCGGUUUUUUGACUUCACCUUCUUUAUUUCUCAACUGUUACAACUUUCCUCCAUAAUAAAAAAAAGAAUGAAACAAUAGUCUUCCUUUCAUCCUCCUCCUAUUUAAUCUUUUCUUGUGAUGAAUGAAAAUUCUGGUGGCGAAGCUUCUAUUAAGGUAUAAUUAUCUACUUUCCUAAUCAAUGUUUUUUUUAUUGUACGUUGAGAUGAGAAUAUGUUCGUUUCUCAUUUGAUAUAACCCAUCGGUGCCUUUAAAAUAGAAAGAAAUUGUUGGAGGAGAGUAAGUGACUGUGGAAGCUCCGACGGAAAAACCCAUGGAUGGUUUGAAGCUUCAUGUUUGGUUGGUGUUAGAUUUUCAGGUUUUUCUAUUUAAGUUUCAAUCAUUUUUUUUUUAAUUUUUCUAUCACGGGACAUAUAUUUAUUUUUCUCGACUUUUGUCAUAGUCGUCGAAGGUAAUUAUGAGAGCAACAUGGUCCAAGGAACAAGAGGACUCGGUCUUUUCACAAGAACUGUGUGGAUGCAACUCGAUAUUCUUCAAGAGACGAUAGGAUACAGUUGGUACCAUUUGAUUUUUUUCUAUAAUAUUUGUAUCAAGAGACAAGAAGUUCUUGGUAUGAAGUUUGAACAGUUGUAAUAGGUAAAUUAUCCAUUGUCUUAGUUCAUAGAAGAAUCACGACAAUAUAUUUAUUACUAAAAAUAUGAAUUUUCUUUUACAAAAAUUAAGAAAUUAUAAAUUAGUCUUGUCACAAUUUACAAUU
RNAcentral lists this long non-coding RNA (777 nucleotides) under Nicotiana tabacum (common tobacco). RNAcentral's name for it is "long non-coding RNA (NTAB_LNC000788)". Lineage: Eukaryota; Viridiplantae; Streptophyta; Magnoliopsida; Solanales; Solanaceae. The record is from RNAcentral.